GGAUCGAUGAUGAUUCCCCAAAAAAACAUUCCUUGGAAAAGCUGAACAAAAUGAGUGAAAAUUUAUGCCCUUCUCACUCAUCGGUGACUGAGGUCC
This is a small nucleolar RNA of Dipodomys ordii (Ord's kangaroo rat), 96 nucleotides long. Its record names the gene SNORD116. It matches the Rfam family "Small nucleolar RNA SNORD116". Rfam says of the family: HBII-85 is a member of the C/D class of snoRNAs, which contain the C (UGAUGA) and D (CUGA) box motifs. HBII-85 is encoded in a tandemly repeated array with another C/D snoRNA, HBII-52, in the Prader-Willi syndrome (PWS) region of chromosome 15. The record is from Ensembl. NCBI's taxonomy places the organism in Eukaryota, Metazoa, Chordata, Mammalia, Rodentia, Heteromyidae.